UGCAGUCGAGGGGUAUAGGUUUUCGGACCUAGAGACCGGCGCACGGGUGCGUAACGCGUAUGCAAUCUACCUUUCACAGAGGGAUAGCCCAGAGAAAUUUGGAUUAAUACCUCAUAGUAUAACGACUCGGCAUCGAGAUGUUAUUAAAGUCACAACGGUGAAAGAUGAGCAUGCGUCCCAUUAGCUAGUUGGUAUGGUAACGGCAUACCAAGGCGACGAUGGGUAGGGGUCCUGAGAGGGAGAUCCCCCACACUGGUACUGAGACACGGACCAGACUCCUACGGGAGGCAGCAGUGAGGAAUAUUGGACAAUGGGCGCAAGCCUGAUCCAGCCAUGCCGCGUGCAGGAUGACGGUCCUAUGGAUUGUAAACUGCUUUUGCACAGGAAGAAACAACUCUACGUGUAGAGUCUUGACGGUACUGUGAGAAUAAGGAUCGGCUAACUCCGUGCCAGCAGCCGCGGUAAUACGGAGGAUCCAAGCGUUAUCCGGAAUCAUUGGGUUUAAAGGGUCCGUAGGCGGUCUUAUAAGUCAGUGGUGAAAUCUCCCCGCUCAACGGGGAAACGGCCAUUGAUACUGUAGGACUUGAAUUAUUAGGAAGUAACUAGAAUAUGUAGUGUAGCGGUGAAAUGCUUAGAGAUUACAUGGAAUACCAAUUGCGAAGGCAGGUUACUACUAAUGGAUUGACGCUGAUGGACGAAAGCGUGGGUAGCGAACAGGAUUAGAUACCCUGGUAGUCCACGCCGUAAACGAUGGAUACUAGCUGUUGGAAGCAAUUUCAGUGGCUAAGCGAAAGUGAUAAGUAUCCCACCUGGGGAGUACGUUCGCAAGAAUGAAACUCAAAGGAAUUGACGGGGGCCCGCACA
This 864-nucleotide ribosomal RNA is filed under the name uncultured bacterium. Its description in RNAcentral is "bacterial SSU rRNA". It matches the Rfam family "Bacterial small subunit ribosomal RNA", at positions 56 to 927 of the family's 1533-position model. The record is from RNAcentral.